GAUCAUGGCUCAGGAUGAACGCUAGCGGCAGGCCUAACACAUGCAAGUCGAGGGGCAGCACGGUGUAGCAAUACACUGGUGGCGACCGGCGCACGGGUGCGUAACGCGUAUGCAACCUACCCAUAACAGGGGGAUAACACUGAGAAAUUGGUACUAAUACCCCAUAACAUCAGGACCGGCAUCGGUUCUGGUUGAAAACUCCGGUGGUUAUGGAUGGGGACAUGCGUUGUAUUAGCUGG
Molecule: ribosomal RNA, 239 nt
Filed under: uncultured bacterium
Lineage: Bacteria
Description: partial 16S ribosomal RNA
Rfam family: Bacterial small subunit ribosomal RNA
Source: RNAcentral